ACACUCGAGCUCACACUCUUGUCCCCCUCUCACCCACCCCUUCUCGCUCCCCUCCAGAUCCCCACUAUCGCCGGCCUCUCCUCGCCGCCGUCACCGGCCUCUCCUCGACUCCCUUUCUCUCCACCACCAUGCACCCCGUUUCCUCCCACCGCGCACCCCGCACCGUAGGUCAAAAGCUUGAUUUUUUAGGCGCCAGCGACAAGCUUCUGGGCGGCGGGGGCUAGAUCCGCGUGCAUCCAUGCCGGCUUCGCAGCGGUGCUUGAUGUGGAGUGGCGCUGGAGCAGCGGAGCGGGGCUUUCUUCCUCACCUCACAGUGCCGUCCUCCUCCACGACCAUGCAACCGCAACAGCGGAGGAGCCGAAUCCCUAGCCAGCGAGCUCAGGUAGCCAUGGGUCCAUGGGGCGACGCCAUGGAAGGGCCACCAACUACACCAGCGAGGAGAGGAGAAAGAGAGUAGCCUGAUGGUCGUCUUCCACCUCCGCCUAUGCCCCCACCCUCCACCUCCACCUACGCCCCCGCCGGAAAUAGUACAAUGGCCAAGGAAAUAGGCAGGAGGCGCUGCUUCCCGGAUGGACAUGGACAUGCUUCUCCAACUCUGCUUCUUCCUGGGUCGCCAUGGAAGCUUAAACAAGUAUAGGACGGGUAGAUGUCACGGGCUGGAUUUUGUGCGGGCAUGUGGGACACUGCGCGAUGGCUGUCAUACGAGGCGGGGGAUCGAAUGAGGUGGUCGAACCACGAGUGGAGAAAGUAGUAAGAAUCUAAGAAAGCCGAAGCCUUCCAGCACACUGCAACAAUAGGAAGAGCACAAGUCGAACAGGGACACAACUCACACACUACGGUGGACAGAAAGGUAACUACAUUGCUGAAAUAGUUGAUGAUGGCAAACCUAGGGCAUGAUGGGCACCGUUGAAUAUAACAAAGGUGGAUCUCCAUCCUUUGUAGCAACAGCCAUCGCCUCGCAACAGGAUCUUCGUCCUUUGCAGCAACAGCCGUCGCCUCGCAACAGCCAUCGAGCGAAGGUUAUGUUUCGGACGCCGAGGUUGCGGUGUAGUUGUGAUGAUCACACAACUGGGUCGAUGGAGCUCGUACGCGAGGAAGAACUGGCAUUUAUGUCCCUGGUGGCGACGUGCGUUGGCGGGUCGAUGGAGCUUGUUCGAUGGUUUGAUUUUUGGUAGAUGGACCUCGUUCGUGGGUUGCCGAACUGUUUUGUUUGUUGGCUAGGUGUGUGAUAGUGGGGUUUGGCUCGUUUGACUGGUGGUCCAUGGGCCGAAUAUCGAAUGAGUUGGCCUUGGUUUUUUGGGCUUG
Molecule: long non-coding RNA, 1305 nt
Organism: Triticum dicoccoides
Lineage: Eukaryota; Viridiplantae; Streptophyta; Magnoliopsida; Poales; Poaceae
Exons: 5
Source: RefSeq, a predicted model, not a curated record